Molecule: ribosomal RNA, 490 nt
Filed under: uncultured bacterium
Lineage: Bacteria
Description: partial 16S ribosomal RNA
Rfam family: Bacterial small subunit ribosomal RNA
Source: RNAcentral
GAUGAACGCUAGCUACAGGCUUAACACAUGCAAGUCGCGGGGCAGCAUGGGGGUUGCUUGCAAUCCCCGAUGGCGACCGGCGCACGGGUGAGUAACGCGUAUCCAACCUGCCCUUCACCACGGGAUAACCCGGCGAAAGUCGGACUAAUACCGUAUGUUGUCCAUUGACGGCAUCCGAUUUGGACGAAAGGUUUGGCGGUGAAGGAUGGGGAUGCGUCCGAUUAGCUGGACGGCGGGGUGACGGCCCACCGUGGCGACGAUCGGUAGGGGUUCUGAGAGGAAGGUCCCCCACACUGGAACUGAGACACGGUCCAGACUCCUACGGGAGGCAGCAGUGAGGAAUAGUGGUCAAUGGGCGUAAGCCUGAACCAGCCAAGUAGCGUGCAGGAGGACGGCCCUAUGGGUUGUAAACUGCUUUUAUGCGGGGAUAAAGUGGCCCACGUGUGGGUUUUUGCAGGUACCGCAUGAAUAAGGACCGGCUAAUUCCGUG